GUCAUUGAAAUUUUAACUAUUUGCCCAUAUAUAUAGGAAGUCAGCCUGCUGACUAUGGUAAUAAACGGCUUAUGGAAUAAGCGUUACGGACCCGGGGGCGGUACCCGGCAUCUCCACCAAUUAAGCGCUUGCGUUUACUUGGUGGGGAUGAAACAGGAUCGACGUGCGUAGUAAAGAUAGGUUUUUUACCCGGUGUUGUUCCGCUGUUACCGGACUAAAAUAUAUAAUUGCAAACGAAAAUCGUAUUGCUAUGAAUGACAAUUACUCCAUGGAAGCUCUAGUAGCCGCCUAAAGUGUGUCAUUUGUGCGGUUUGUGGGGCACCGGGCAACAGAAAGCCCCACA
RNAcentral lists this transfer-messenger RNA (343 nucleotides) under Alphaproteobacteria bacterium. It matches the Rfam family "Alphaproteobacteria transfer-messenger RNA". From Rfam's summary of the family: Bacterial tmRNA, also known as 10Sa RNA or SsrA, is named for its dual tRNA and mRNA-like properties. Its role is to liberate the mRNA from a stalled ribosome. To accomplish this part of the tmRNA is used as a reading frame that ends in a translation stop signal. Lineage: Bacteria; Pseudomonadati; Pseudomonadota; Alphaproteobacteria. The record is from RNAcentral.